RNAcentral lists this ribosomal RNA (468 nucleotides) under uncultured bacterium. RNAcentral's name for it is "partial 16S ribosomal RNA". It matches the Rfam family "Bacterial small subunit ribosomal RNA", at positions 28 to 507 of the family's 1533-position model. The record is from RNAcentral.
GACGAACGUUGGCGGCGUGCUUAACACAUGCAAGUCGAACGGAAAGGCCCUGCUUUUGUGGGGUGCUCGAGUGGCGAACGGGUUAGUAACACGUUAGUCACCUGCCCUUGACUUUGGGAUAACUUCACGAAACUUGGGCUAAUACCUCAUAGGAUCUCCUGCUUCAUGGUGCGGGUUGGAAAGUUUCGGCGGUUGGGGAUGGACUCGCGGCUGAUCAGCUUGUUGGUGGGGUAUUGGCUUACCAAGGCUUUGACGGGUAGCCGGCCUGAGAGGGUGACCGGCAACAUUGGGACUGAGAUACGGCGCAGAAUCCUACGGGAGGCAGCAGUGGGGAAUAUUGCACAAGGGGGGGAAGCCGGAUGCAGCAAAGCCGCGUGCGGGAUGACGGCCUUCGGGUUGUAAACAGCUGUAGCCUGGGACGAAGAGUGAGUGACGGUAAUGGGUAAAGAAGCACCGGCUAAGUACGUG